This 406-nucleotide ribosomal RNA is filed under the name uncultured bacterium. RNAcentral's name for it is "partial 16S ribosomal RNA". It matches the Rfam family "Bacterial small subunit ribosomal RNA", at positions 30 to 526 of the family's 1533-position model. The record is from RNAcentral.
AUUGAACGCUGGCGGCAGGCCUAAUACAUGCAAGUCGAGCGAGCGGCGGACGGGUGAGUAAUGUAUGGGGAUCUGCCCGAUAGAGCGGGAUAACUACUGGAAAAGGUGGCUAAUACCGCAUACUAUCGGUUGAACCCAUAUGGGAUUAGCUAGUAGGUGGGGUAAAGGCUCACCGAGGCGACGAUCUCUAGCUGGUCCGAGAGGAUGAUCAGUCACACAGGGACUGAGACACGGCCCAGACUCCUACGGGAGGCAGCAGUAGGGAAUAUUGCACAAUGGGCGCAAGCCUGAUGCAGCCAUGCCGCGUGUGUUAAGAAGGCCUUAGGGUUGUAAAGUACUUUCAGCGGGGAUGCGUUACCCGCAGAAGAAGCAACGGCUAACUCCGUGCCAGCCGCCGCGGUAAUAC